CAAGUCGAGCGCCCGCAAGGGAGCGGCGGACGGGUGAGUAACGCGUGGGAACGUGCCCUUUGCUACGGAAUAGCCUCGGGAAACUGAGAGUAAUACCGUAUGUGCCCUUCGGGGGAAAGAUUUAUCGGUAAAGGAUCGGCCCGCGUUGGAUUAGCUAGUUGGUGGGGUAAAGGCCUACCAAGGCGACGAUCUAUAGCUGGUCUGAGAGGAUGAUCAGCCACAUUGGGACUGAGACACGGCCCAAACUCCUACGGGAGGCAGCAGUGGGGAAUAUUGGACAAUGGGCGCAAGCCUGAUCCAGCAAUGCCGCGUGCAGGAUGAAGGCCUUCGGGUUGUAAACUGCUUUUGUACGGAGCGAAACGGCUUUCACUAAUACAGGAGGCUAAUGACGGUACCGUAAGAAUAAGCACCGGCUAACUACGUGCCAGCAGCCGCGGUAAUACGUAGGGUGCGAGCGUUAAUCGGAAUUACUGGGCGUAAAGCGUGCGCAGGCGGUUUUGUAAGACAGAUGUGAAAUCCCCGGGCUCAACCUGGGACCUGCAUUUGUGACUGCAAGGCUGGAGUGCGGCAGAGGGGGAUGGAAUUCCGCGUGUAGCAGUGAAAUGCGUAGAUAUGCGGAGGAACACCGAUGGCGAAGGCAAUCCCCUGGGCCUGCACUGACGCUCAUACACGAAAGCGUGGGGAGCAAACAGGAUUAGAUACCCUGGUAGUCCACGCCCUAAACGAUGUCAACUGGUUGUUGGGUCUUCACUGACUCAGUAACGAAGCUAACGCGUGAAGUUGACCGCCUGUGGAGUACGGCCGCAAGGUUGAAACUCACAGGAAUUGACGGGGACCCGCACAAGCGGUGGAUGAUGUGGUUUAAUUCGAUGCAACGCGAAAAACCUUACCCACCUUU
RNAcentral lists this ribosomal RNA (898 nucleotides) under uncultured Comamonadaceae bacterium. RNAcentral describes it as "bacterial SSU rRNA". It matches the Rfam family "Bacterial small subunit ribosomal RNA", at positions 58 to 982 of the family's 1533-position model. The record is from RNAcentral. Lineage: Bacteria; Pseudomonadati; Pseudomonadota; Betaproteobacteria; Burkholderiales; Comamonadaceae.